This 790-nucleotide ribosomal RNA is filed under the name uncultured bacterium. Its description in RNAcentral is "bacterial SSU rRNA". It matches the Rfam family "Bacterial small subunit ribosomal RNA", at positions 8 to 798 of the family's 1533-position model. The record is from RNAcentral.
AGAGUUUGAUCAUGGCUCAGGAUGAACGCUAGCGGGAGGCCUAACACAUGCAAGCCGAGCGGUAGAGAUUCUUCGGAAUCUUGAGAGCGGCGUACGGGUGCGUAACACGUGUGCAACCUGCCUUUAUCUGGGAGAUAGCCUUUCGAAAGGAAGAUUAAUAUCCCAUAAUAUAUUGAUUGGCAUCGAUUGAUAUUGAAAGCUCCGGCGGAUAAAGAUGGGCACGCGCAAGAUUAGAUAGUUGGUGAGGUAACGGCUCACCAAGUCGAUGAUCUUUAGGGGGCCUGAGAGGGUGAUCCCCCACACUGGUACUGAGACACGGACCAGACUCCUACGGGAGGCAGCAGUGAGGAAUAUUGGACAAUGGGUGGAAGCCUGAUCCAGCCAUCCCGCGUGAAGGAAUAAGGGCCUAUGGCUUGUAAACUUCUUUUGUACAGGGAUAAACCUACCCUCGUGAGGGUAGCUGAAGGUACUGUACGAAUAAGCACCGGCUAACUCCGUGCCAGCAGCCGCGGUAAUACGGAGGGUGCAAGCGUUAUCCGGAUUUAUUGGGUUUAAAGGGUCCGUAGGCGGGCUUAUAAGUCAGUGGUGAAAGCCGGCAGCUUAACUGUCGAACUGCCAUUGAUACUGUAAGUCUUGAGUAUAUUUGAGGUAGCUGGAAUAAGUAGUGUAGCGGUGAAAUGCAUAGAUAUUACUUAGAACACCAAUUGCGAAGGCAGGUUACCAAGUUAUAACUGACGCUGAUGGACGAAAGCGUGGGGAGCGAACAGGAUUAGAUACCCCGGUAGUCCAA